This is a non-coding RNA of Mus caroli (Ryukyu mouse), 439 nucleotides long. The record is from RefSeq and is a predicted model, not a curated record. Lineage: Eukaryota; Metazoa; Chordata; Mammalia; Rodentia; Muridae.
UGGUCGGAAUUGGAAUUGCAGCAUAGGGGAGUUGGAGACAUGAGGAUCCCUGAGAGUCACUGGUCAGCAGGUCCAACCUAAUUGAUAACCUCCAGGGCAAUGACAGAUUCUGUGUCAAAGGAAGAACAUAGCACUCCUUAGUGACUGCACAACCGUCUUCUGUUCUCUACUGCACAUCUGUACAUGUGCACCUCUGCAGAUGACUGACGUUGGCUGGAAUCUGAUUCCUGAGGAGCAGAGCUUGACCCUGGUGAUUAUAACCAGUGCUGGUAUUAACUGAGGGAGUGUAAAAGCGAGUUGGAUUUCAUGCUUCUCCUCUGGUUCCCACGAACCAAGGAAAGGUCUUCUCAAUCCAGUCAAAGUCACAGCCCUUCUCCUCCACUCCCUGCUCACAAUGUCUGACUGUUGGAAAGAGAAACGGGGUCCUUUACAGUUGAAU